Phragmites australis (common reed) is the source of this 139-nucleotide small nucleolar RNA. RefSeq annotates it as small nucleolar RNA Z247. The transcript has a single exon. Lineage: Eukaryota; Viridiplantae; Streptophyta; Magnoliopsida; Poales; Poaceae. The record is from RefSeq and is a predicted model, not a curated record.
CCGCUCGAAGAGGAGGAGAUCAUCUGCUACAUGCUGCGCGGCCUCGGCUCCGAAUAUGAUCCUCUAGUGAUAAGCAUCACAACGUGCCCUGACCCCGUCACGAUUUGUGACGUCUAUGUGCACAUGCUGAACUUCGAGC